RNAcentral lists this non-coding RNA (30 nucleotides) under Mus musculus (house mouse). Lineage: Eukaryota; Metazoa; Chordata; Mammalia; Rodentia; Muridae. The record is from RNAcentral.
UUGCAUUACUUGGGGGCAAUUGUGCUUUGU